GCGGUUGUGGCGGAAUUGGUAUACGCGUAGGAUUCAGGUUCCUAUGUUCGCAAGGACGUGCAGGUUCAAGUCCUGUCAACCGCA
This 84-nucleotide transfer RNA is filed under the name Clostridiales bacterium. RNAcentral describes it as "tRNA-Leu". It matches the Rfam family "tRNA". Rfam says of the family: Transfer RNA (tRNA) molecules are approximately 80 nucleotides in length. Lineage: Bacteria; Bacillati; Bacillota; Clostridia; Eubacteriales. The record is from RNAcentral. RNAcentral also lists the same sequence under 1 other name.